Molecule: long non-coding RNA, 283 nt
Filed under: Bos taurus (domestic cattle)
Lineage: Eukaryota; Metazoa; Chordata; Mammalia; Artiodactyla; Bovidae
Description: long non-coding RNA NONBTAT007121
Source: RNAcentral
UGGCUAUUGAUGGGUUCAGAGAUAGAGAGGUCUUAAAUAAUUUGAGGCAGUGAGAAUCCAGGUUCUGUAAGACUAAGAUCACAUAUUAUUCUGAUACAGGGAACUGGCUCAAGGCUGAAGAUGAUACUGAGAAUGUAGGUCAGAACAACUAAAAGAUACUAUAUAAUAAGAAUCUUUAGUGAUUAUUCCCAUUUGUGCCUGAAUUUUUUCUAUGAAUUGUUACCAAAAGUAAUCUGAUAUAUUGUUUUAUAGUGUUGAAUCUUUAGUGUUUCUCCAAUUUUUU